Molecule: small nucleolar RNA, 137 nt
Organism: Labeo rohita (rohu)
Lineage: Eukaryota; Metazoa; Chordata; Actinopteri; Cypriniformes; Cyprinidae
Product: small nucleolar RNA SNORA68
Exons: 1
Source: RefSeq, a predicted model, not a curated record
CCUGCACACAAAAACCCAAGGGCCAUUUCCUUUCCAUGUUAUGCUCUUGCCGUGUGUGCAAAAAGAAACACAGAACCUUGUCGCCUUUCAUAGGCUUUCAAACGUGCCACUGAAAGUGAAUUCAAGGUGCAACACAA